AUACGGAGGGUGCAAGCGUUACUCGGAAUCACUGGGCGUAAAGCGCGCGCAGGCGGCUAUUUAAGUUGGAUGUGAAAGCCUACGGCUCAACCGUAGAACUGCAUCCAAAACUAUUUAGCUAGAGUGUGGGAGAGGAAGAUGGAAUUAGUUGUGUAGGGGUAAAAUCCGUAGAGAUAACUAGGAAUACCAAAAGCGAAGGCAAUCUUCUGGAACACUACUGACGCUCAGGCGCGAAAGCGUGGGGAGCAAACAGGAUUAGAAACCCUAGUAGUCC
RNAcentral lists this ribosomal RNA (274 nucleotides) under uncultured bacterium. RNAcentral's name for it is "partial 16S ribosomal RNA". It matches the Rfam family "Bacterial small subunit ribosomal RNA", at positions 523 to 796 of the family's 1533-position model. The record is from RNAcentral.